Paramormyrops kingsleyae is the source of this 5036-nucleotide non-coding RNA. NCBI's taxonomy places the organism in Eukaryota, Metazoa, Chordata, Actinopteri, Osteoglossiformes, Mormyridae. The record is from RefSeq and is a predicted model, not a curated record.
UAUAGGAGGAGGGGGGGGACAUGUACAGAUACACACAUCAUACUGGGGGGGAACAUGUGCAGAUACAUUGACGCGGGGGGACACAGGAUGAGGAGCAGCCAAAGACGAGCUUGGAUGCCUUUCAGGAGCUCCUCUCAGUCCAUAAUUACUGUAAGCCAGACGCUGCUUUGGUCAUUUACACCAUCAUGACGCAGAUCAAAGAUUUUUCUAAAAGGUCAAGUAACAAUGACUCUGUCAGCAUGAAAAAUAAUCUGCAGAAAUGGGAAUUUUAAUCAGAACCAAAGUGUUUUAGCCACAAUGGGGUAAUUGUACCCAGGCCCGGGAAUCUCCUGCGUAUAACAGGGAGGUCAGGAUUGCACUUUUCUGCUCUAUUAAAAGGUAAGAGAACUUCUCGAGAAGGUAAUCCCGACCCAGCGAACAGGCUCCUGCGUAUAAAAAGCGAUAAUAGCACAGAGGCUUAAUGAUUUCAGGGUGGGGAGGGUCAAAGCUCACAGAGCUGUCUGAUGGAGCUCCUCUGGCACCAUGGCUCUUGCCAAGUGCUCUGGGCUUUUCCUGCAGGAAAGAGAAGAGCUCCAUGGCGGAGCAGGACUUUAAUCCUUUCCCUACAAGCUCCUGCCUACAGGUCCUACUUUACCCGAGACAAAGCCCCCCCAGAGGACAGAGCCGGUGAGUUUCUGCUCUCUCUGGACUUCGACUUCUUGAUUGGGACGUUUGAUUUAAUGGGGCAUUUUCCAUGAUGGGGAUGAUCUUCUCAUGCUGCUGCAGGGGGAGGGGGGUGCAGGACUGUGAUUUCCAUGGUGCUUGAGAGCCUCAGGGGGUUUAAUGAAGAGUGGGCUUGGCUUUAUGAGCAAGCUGCAAUGAAGCCUCCCUUCCACAUGUUCCUCCUUGCAGCUUCUCAACAAUCUGCUUUCCCGCUGGGUGUAAAAUUACAGGAACGCCCCAGCGAGCAGGUAGCCGCCUCAUGUAACCCCCCCGGAGGCCCCCCCAGCUCUGCCCAGAGGUCCCGGCAUUUCCUAUUGCGAGUCCCCCCCAUCCGUCAGCCCUUCGCCGCUCUGGCACCGGCUAACACCUCAAUCGCCCAAACCACUUAAACCCUAAGCCCCCCCCCCCGGAAUGAUUCUGGCUCACCGGGCUGUUAACACGGCACCUGUCAGGAAUCAAAGGCAUGGGUGGGGGGGCUGCGAACAGGACAAAUCCACCCCCCCACCCCGUGCUGGCCCAGCCUCCCACUGCCACAGUGGUCCAGAGGAUCUCUGUCAGCACCACUGAGCUCCAGAAUUAUGGCCUGCGGGAGGGGGGACAAUAAAGCAGGGAAAUAACAACACCACUGCUACUUAGUCAGCCAUCUCUCGCACAACAGGAAGUGAUUUAUCCCCCUGUCAGCAGGUACUGAUGAUGUAAUCACUCAGAGCCAAUGCCGUGUGCCGACGUCAUCUGACACCCUCCCACUUUCAGGCUCAGCUGCUGCCUUUGCUUCCCAUAUACUUUCCAUAAGCAUUUCAUGUAUUUAUUUAUGUAUGUACUUCAUUUCCCUGUUUGGAUUUGGCAACUGAAGAAAUCAUAACACUGCAGCUGGCACCUCUGCUUCUCUGAGGCCCCUGCUGGUCAACAUUGGCUAUUGCACCACAUAUGCCGCCACCCCCGGGGAGACCCCGCACACCAUUAUCCAUAUUCAUCCUGCUGAUGCUGUGCUGUCUGUCAGCAGCACCUGUGGACCUGUCUCGCAGCGGAUCGGAGCUGCUCCGGUAACCUCGCCUGGACCGGGCGAUAAGUCCAAACCGCUCGCCACUCCUGCCUGCUGUGGCCCAUUACAAUGACAAUGGCGAUAAGAGACAUUUAUCACUCCUACCUCAGGGUGACGAAGAGAGCCCAGAGACAUGUCCGGGGGGAGAGGAGCAGGGGAGGAGCAGGACACGGAGCAGAGAGCCUGAAUUACAGCAUGCCGUGACAUGUUAACACCCUGGCAGGCCGUCCGCUUCCCAUUCAGAGCAACACACGGAUUGGUCCUCCUCAUGUUCACCAACCCUAACCUCACAGAAAUUACGUCACCGAUGGGACGCGGGGCUGACUGGCGGUGCCACUGUGGCGUGGCACGGGGCGGCGCCUUUGUGCCCUGGGCUCAAUGGACCAAUUGUGACACCGGCUGAGAUGUGGUACGGACAGAACCUGCAGCUGUGAAAACAAGGCAGCUCUGGGUAUCGUCUAGCUGGCACCGCCAACACAUGCUGGGCACGCACCGCCCUGAAAGACACUCCCACCAGUCUGAUGCCAGGGCAGUGUGCUUGUGACAAGCCAGGUCUGUAUCAGGGUCCCCUCCUGACCCGCCUGAGGUGACUGUGACGGUGUAGCCUCUCUAACAACCUCAAUUUUAGAGGUGUCCUUGAGGAGGUAACACCACUGCCCCCUACAGGGCUGGGCUCAUUCACAUGGGCUCUCGCAACAAGGAGACGGAGGGAGUAAGCAGCCUAUAAGGUGUGAUGCCAGUGGCCUAUAAACAUACCCACUGCCAUCACAGUGCAUGUGAACACGGUUACUCUCACCACAGUCCAUAUAAACAUACCCACUGCCAUCACAGUGCAUGUGAACACGGUUACUCUCACCACAGUCCAUAUAAACAUACCCACUGCCAUCACAGUGCAUGUGAACAUGCUUACUCUCACCACAGUCCAUGUGAACACGUUUUCUGUCAUCACAAUCCAUGUGAACGUUUCUGUCACCAUAGCUUGUGUAAAUAUAUUUUUGUGGAAAACAAAUUAAACUUUGCUUUGAGAAUGACCUGGCCUUUAAUUCUAUUGUGGAAGACAGGAAAGGAGAGCCCAGAGAUAGGGUUCAGCUAGCUUGUGUUUAAACACAGAAGAAUGCACAAUGAUGCUUUGUUGAUAUGUAAUUCUUCCAUGGUUUCUGUUGGUGAUGGAAGAAUGAUGCAGUACAUACAAUGAUCAGUGUUCACUGAACUAUGAAACACUGAAGCAACUUGGAUAGGCAGUCCUCAUGACUUGAAGAUGUUCUACGCCAAUGCAGGGAGUGUAUCUGAAUGACUUCCCAGAAACAGAGAAAGUGCCCCCACAGAUAUGAGAGCUCCAGAGCACCAUACAGUUCUCCCAACCCCCUCAAGCACCCCAUAGCCAAGCAUGAAGAAUAGCUGCAGUUUGAAUUCCCACCAGUAGGUGGGGAUAGACAUGAAAGUAACUGUAUGGCACUGAGGCUGCCCGUAUGCACAAAGUGUUUAAUCGCCCUCACGCGUCAACAUUGUUAAAAAUAUGGCUAGAGCACCGUGCUGAAUAAUGCUCCUGUGAUUACAUUUUUAUCUCAACUGUUAUUUGACAGCAAACAUCUUAUUUCAAACCCCAGAGCUAUUAAAGCCUCUGCUUAAGAAAGCAACUUAGCAGAGAUCCUUGUGAGUUGGGCCGCUGACGUGUUCAGGGCUGGGUCGAGCCAGGCCGGUGGCACCAGCCGUGGGCAGAGGUCUGCGAUAAGCCGGAGUCUCCGCCAUGACCCACCCUGUUUAUUGACCGACUCCAGCCAGUCUGGAGUUCAUUGGGAGCCACCAUUAUCUCUCCAGAGAUUAUUAAAAAUUAAUUGAUUCCUGCAGUAUUAUCCAUAGUCUAACCCAACCCGCUGCAGAUGACACUACAGCCAAUAAACGUACAUUUGUGUUUUUUUUCUGCCUUUUUUAUGACCCCUGUCAAUUCCUGGGCCCGUUAUCAGGUCAUAAAUUCAUUAGGUGCUAACACACCUAGCAGAAGCAGCCCUUUAGUUCCAACAAACAAGAUUAGAGCACGGCAGAGGCUGCUUCAGGAACAGGAGCCCAGCCAUAGGGGUUAGGGUGCAAAACCGUGCCGCAUCAUCCCUGAAGACCACCAGGGGAGUUUUACCUCUCUGUCCAUCUCAUAUGUCACACCAGAAAAUCUUAAAGCUUGGGUCAGAACUGAGAAGCUUGGCUCUUCUGACAGGAGUAGUGGUGUAAAAAACACUAUAAUGGCAGUGUAAAAAACACUGUAGUUGCAGUGCAAAAUUACACUAUUAGAGCAGUGUAAAAUUUCUGUAACAGUGGUGUAAAAAUAGCAACAGUGUAAAACACUGGGAGUGUAAAAAACAGCAGUGUCAGGAUCUGUCUCUGUCAUGUUCCUUUCUGGCCAGCAGAUGUCGCUAGCCAUCCCUUUUCUCCCUAAUGUGUCAAUUACUCACACCUGUCUCUUGUUAAUGACUUUCUUUCUGUGAAUAUAUGUGCCUUCCCUUGCCAUGCUCCUCAGCUCGGUCAUUACUGUUGUUCUAUAGGCUUUCUGUGUGAGCCCUGAAGUUUAUUGUUGCUGUUUACCCUAUAUUUCCCAUUUCUUCAGAUUAGCCCUUGUCCAUUCCUUUUGGAUCCCCUCUUGUCUUUGGUUUUGACUGUUAGUGAUUACAGCAGUGUGACAACAGUAUAAAAAACUGUGUAAGCGCAAUGUUACAGCAGUGUGACAACAGUAUAAAAAAAUGUGUAAGGGCAAUGUUACAGCAGUGUGGCAAAAGUGUAAAAAAUGUGUAAGGGCAAUGUUACAGCAGUGUGACAACAGUGUAAAAAACUGUAAGCGCAAUGUUACAGCAAUGUGACAAUAGUGUAAAAAAUGUGUAAGGGCAAUGUUACAGCAGUGUGACAACAGUGUAAAAAACUGUGUAAGGGCAAUGUUACAGCAGUGUGACAACAGUGUAAAAAAUGUGUAAGGGCAAUGUUACAGCAGUGUGACAAUAGUGUAAAAAAUGUGUAAGGGCAAUGUUACAGCAAUGUGACAAUAGUGUAAAAAAUGUGUAAGGGCAAUGUUACAGCAAUGUGACAAUAGUGUAAAAACUGUGUAAGGGCAAUGUUACAGCAGUGUGACAACAGUGUAAAAAACUGUGUAAGCGCAAUGUUACAGCAGUGUGACAAUAGUGUAAAAAAUGUGUUUUACACUAUGUUACAGCAGUGUGGGAACAAUGUAAAAAAGCAUGAAAUGGCAGUGUAAAGGCAAGAAUAAAUCCCUGUUGCUUUCAAGACAAAUAAUAAAAACAUUGCAGACAAA